AUGAGCUGUUUUCAACUCACGAAGAAAAUUUGCGGAAACCUGUCAUCUAUUUCUUCUAACUUCUGGUGGGCUGAGGCUAAUGGUAAAAAGAAUGUGCAUUGGAUAUAUUGGGACAAGAUGUGCACGAGGAAGCGAGAAGGUGGGAUGGGUUUUAGGGACCCAGAGGCGUUUAAUCAAGCUAUGCUGGCCAAACAAGCAUGGAGAUUAUUCCAGGAGCCAAACUCGUUAAGUGUGAGGGUCUACUUCUUCUUCGGUCGCGGAUCACAAAGCGUGGCUGAGCUUGUGGGAUACGAUCGCGCCAGGCAAAGUCAAAACGCAUAUGUGGAGGAUGAUCCAAAAAGGGCUAGCAGUGGGGUCGGAGCUACUGAGAAGGAGGAUUAA
This 381-nucleotide ribosomal RNA is filed under the name Triticum aestivum (bread wheat). RNAcentral's name for it is "partial small subunit ribosomal RNA". The record is from RNAcentral. Lineage: Eukaryota; Viridiplantae; Streptophyta; Magnoliopsida; Poales; Poaceae.